GCCGGGUGCGGUGGCGCGCGCCUGUAAUCCAAGCUACGGGGAGGCUGAGGCUGGCGGAUCGCUUGAGCUCAGGAGCUCUGAGCUGCGGUGGGCUAUGGCGAUCGGGUGUCCACACUAAGCUCGGUAUCGAUAUGGUGCUCCUGGGGGAGCCCGGGACCACCAGGUCGCCUAAGGAGGGGUGAACCGGCCCAGGUCGGAAACGGAGCAGGCCAAAGCCCCCGUGCUGGGCAGUAGUGGGGUCGCGCCUGUGAAUAGCCUCUGUAGUUCAGCCUGUGCAAUACAGUGGGACCCAGUCUUUU
Lepisosteus oculatus (spotted gar) is the source of this 299-nucleotide non-coding RNA. It matches the Rfam family "Metazoan signal recognition particle RNA". From Rfam's summary of the family: The signal recognition particle (SRP) is a universally conserved ribonucleoprotein. The record is from Rfam. NCBI's taxonomy places the organism in Eukaryota, Metazoa, Chordata, Actinopteri, Semionotiformes, Lepisosteidae.